RNAcentral lists this ribosomal RNA (424 nucleotides) under uncultured Bacteroides sp. RNAcentral's name for it is "bacterial SSU rRNA". It matches the Rfam family "Bacterial small subunit ribosomal RNA", at positions 338 to 779 of the family's 1533-position model. Lineage: Bacteria; Pseudomonadati; Bacteroidota; Bacteroidia; Bacteroidales; Bacteroidaceae. The record is from RNAcentral.
CCUACGGGCGGCAGCAGUGGGGAAUAUUGCACAAUGGGGGAAACCCUGAUGCAGCGACGCCGCGUGAAGGAUGAAGUAUUUCGGUAUGUAAACUUCUAUCAGCAGGGAAGAAAAUGACGGUACCUGACUAAGAAGCCCCGGCUAACUACGUGCCAGCAGCCGCGGUAAUACGGAGGAUCCGAGCGUUAUCCGGAUUUAUUGGGUUUAAAGGGAGCGUAGAUGGAUGUUUAAGUCAGUUGUGAAAGUUUGCGGCUCAACCGUAAAAUUGCAGUUGAUACUGGAUAUCUUGAGUGCAGUUGAGGCAGGCGGAAUUCGUGGUGUAGCGGUGAAAUGCUUAGAUAUCACGAAGAACUCCGAUUGCGAAGGCAGCUUACUGGAUUGUAACUGACGCUGAUGCUCGAAAGUGUGGGUAUCAAACAGGAUU